UACGUAGGGUGCGAGCGUUAAUCGGAAUUACUGGGCGUAAAGCGUGCGCAGGCGGUUCGUUGUGUCGGCGGUGAAAGCCCCGGGCUCAGCCUGGGAAUGGCCGUUGAAACUGGCGAACUGGAGUGUGGCAGAGGGGGGUGGAAUUCCGCGUGUAGCAGUGAAAUGCGUAGAGAUGCGGAGGAACACCGAUGGCGAAGGCAGCCCCCUGGGCUGACACUGACGCUCAGGCACGAAAGCGUGGGGAGCAAACAGG
Molecule: ribosomal RNA, 253 nt
Filed under: uncultured bacterium
Lineage: Bacteria
Description: partial 16S ribosomal RNA
Rfam family: Bacterial small subunit ribosomal RNA
Source: RNAcentral